GAUGAACGCUGGCGGCGUGCUUAACACAUGCAAGUCGAACGGAAAGGCCCUGCUUUUGUGGGGUGCUCGAGUGGCGAACGGGUGAGUAACACGUGAGUAACCUGCCCUUGACUUUGGGAUAACUUCAGGAAACUGGGGCUAAUACCGGAUAGGAGCUCCUGCUGCAUUGUGGGGGUUGGAAAGUUUCGGCGGUUGGGGAUGGACUCGCGGCUUAUCAGCUUGUUGGUGGGGUAGUGGCUUACCAAGGCUUUGACGGGUAGCCGGCCUGAGAGGGUGACCGGCCACAUUGGGACUGAGAUACGGCCCAGACUCCUACGGGAGGCAGCAGUGGGGAAUAUUGCACAAUGGGCGGAAGCCUGAUGCAGCAACGCCGCGUGCGGGAUGACGGCCUUCGGGUUGUAAACCGCUUUCGCCUGUGACGAAGCGUGAGUGACGGUAAUGGGUAAAGAAGCACCGGCUAACUACGUG
Molecule: ribosomal RNA, 468 nt
Filed under: uncultured bacterium
Lineage: Bacteria
Description: partial 16S ribosomal RNA
Rfam family: Bacterial small subunit ribosomal RNA
Source: RNAcentral